GACGAACGCUUGCGGCGUGCCUAAGAAAUGCAAGUCGAGCGGGGUGUAGCGAUACACCUAGCGGCGAACGGUCGCGUAACACGUAAGCAACCUGCCGAAAAGACCGGGACAACAUCUCGAAAGGGGUGCUAAUACCGGAUGUGGCCAUCUUCUCGCAUGGGAGGGUGAUUAAACCGCGCUAGCAAUAGUGGCGGCUUUUCGAGGGGCCCGCGGCCUAUCAGCUUGUUGGUGGGGUGANGGCCUACCAAGGCGACGACGGGUAGCCGGCCUGAGAGGGCGACCGGCCACACUGGGACUGAGACAUGGCCCAGACUCCUACGGGAGGCAGCAGUGGGGAAUCUUGCGCAAUGGGCGAAAGCCUGACGCAGCGACGCCGCGUGAGGGAUGACGGCCU
Molecule: ribosomal RNA, 394 nt
Filed under: uncultured bacterium
Lineage: Bacteria
Description: bacterial SSU rRNA
Rfam family: Bacterial small subunit ribosomal RNA
Source: RNAcentral